Cinara cedri is the source of this 210-nucleotide non-coding RNA. The record is from the annotation of a GenBank genome assembly. Lineage: Eukaryota; Metazoa; Arthropoda; Insecta; Hemiptera; Aphididae.
UGUUUAAUGUUGUAACGGUUUUUCCAGUUUCCCUACGUUUUCCCCGGGGUUUUCCCAUGUUUUAUACCGGUUUUUCGAACUUGGUGAGAAAAAUUUUGAGAAAAUCGAAAAACGACCGCCAUAAAGUACCCCCCACACCGAUUUCAUUUCAGAAAAGGUGCCACUCACUUAGAAAUCCGAGCAGGUCUUCUGGUAGAAAAGUUGUCGACA